This 204-nucleotide unclassified non-coding RNA is filed under the name soil metagenome. RNAcentral's name for it is "partial contains 5.8S ribosomal RNA, internal transcribed spacer 2, and large subunit ribosomal RNA". The record is from RNAcentral.
AACAAGGCGUACCUGCGGACCUGCGGAGGGAUCAUUACCGAGUUUACAACUCCCAAACCCCUGUGAACAUACCUAUAUGUUGCCUCGGCGGAUCAGCCCGCGCCCCGUAAAACGGGACGGCCCGCCGCAGGAUCCACAAACUCUGUUUUUAUUGUAACUUCUGAGUAACAAAACAAAUAAAUCAAAACUUUCAACAAUGGAUCU